This is a long non-coding RNA of Prunus dulcis (almond), 425 nucleotides long. RefSeq lists it as uncharacterized. The transcript is spliced from 3 exons. NCBI's taxonomy places the organism in Eukaryota, Viridiplantae, Streptophyta, Magnoliopsida, Rosales, Rosaceae. The record is from RefSeq and is a predicted model, not a curated record.
GGUCUUCACUCUUCUCCUCUUUCCGUUUCUUCUUCUUCAAAACCCUAACCCUAAGUAAGCAGCGGCACCUCUCUCUCCCGAGUCCUCAGUCUUCAAUCGAUUCAUCUCUCCCAACCUUAGAUCUUUUGGCGAGAACAUCGGCGUCGCUCCUUCGUCGAUCUCUCUCACUCUCCUCUGGCAGUUGUUUAGCGUCGCUGCUGCUGCUGAGCUUUGAAAGUUUGGAAAAUUUUGCUUAAAUGGAGGUUGCUUUGUGAAGGCUUUUGGAAGAAUGGAUGCAGCAUAUUUUUUUGCAAGGAUAUUAUCUCUAUGUGUAUUUUUGUGAUGGGUUGUAAUCUUUAAUGUCAUAAGUUUAAUUUGGUUGGUGUAUUAUUUUUUGUAAUGGUUUGUAAGAGAUUAUAUUUCCUUUCCUUGGUUGGUUGGUUGAA